AAAUUUUGAAACUUUUAAUUACAGUCGACUCUCGUUAUGUCGAAGUCAGCCGGACCAGAGAAAUAUUUCGAGAUACACGUAGUUCGACUCAAACGAACACCGGAAGUUCGACAAUCUAAGGGACACAACUCUUGCUUAGCUUGGUAAAGCUAAAAUAAAUCCGUGUGAAUAUGGCAAGGGGAUCGAUAUUCUAGUAUCAGAUCGAUGUAUUUGUAUGUCACAGUCUUUUAUUAUUAUUACUUAUUCAAUUGUUUCAAUUAAAAAAAAAUCUUAUGGCUUUUCCAAGAGUGUAAAUUCCAAUCGAUAGUUUCGUUAUUCAGGUCGGUUAUAGCUGACAAAAUUGUUUAUUCUCGGAUACAAAAGAUUUAAGAAAAUUUUGAUUUCUAUUCAUUUUGUUUAUCUCACUCUUUCUUUUCAAAAGAAAAUAUAACAAGAUCAAAGACGCCGUUUGAGUAGUUUUUAGGUGAUCAUCAACGGAAGCCAUAAUCCUCACUUUAUACACACCCAAGCUCAUUAGUGUAAAUCACAAAUUAAUUGUUUUGUAAACAUUUUAAAUACUUUUUCAUGAACAUUAACAAUGUAUCACUAAUUAUUUAUCAAAAUUCUAUAAAAGAUAAUCUUAGGUAAACACUCAUGGAAAUAGCAUGUCAUAAAUCAAUACAGUGGUCAAUGACCGGAAAUUUAAUUACACGUGUAUUGUCAGAUUAACUCUUCAAUCCAUUUAAAUCCCGGAGGUCAUGUUUUGACAUAUGUGUAUUAGUUCGAGAUAAAAAAAUGAAUUUUGAAUGCUUUUGUUAACCUUGGGACCGUAGAUUUAGUUCGACUCAACCGAAAUUUCGACUCAUCCAAUUUCGACUCAUCAGGAGUCGAAUUACAUACUUUUGUAUGGAAUAAAGUUCGGGACCACGUGAAAACUUCGACUCAUCCGAAAUUUCGAGUCAACCGAGUUCGAGACAACGAGAGUUAACUGUAUAACAAACCAUUGU
This 986-nucleotide long non-coding RNA is filed under the name Mytilus galloprovincialis (Mediterranean mussel). The record is from RNAcentral. Lineage: Eukaryota; Metazoa; Mollusca; Bivalvia; Mytilida; Mytilidae.